GACCGCGUAGCUCAGUUGGCAGAGCAUUGGCCUAGUUUUCCAAAGGUCGUAGGUUCGAUUCCCACCGUGGUCA
Molecule: transfer RNA, 73 nt
Filed under: Paramuricea clavata
Lineage: Eukaryota; Metazoa; Cnidaria; Anthozoa; Malacalcyonacea; Plexauridae
Rfam family: tRNA
About the family: Transfer RNA (tRNA) molecules are approximately 80 nucleotides in length. Their secondary structure includes four short double-helical elements and three loops (D, anti-codon, and T loops).
Source: Rfam by way of RNAcentral